CACUCGUUGCUGAUGCACUCCAACCCGAGGACCUCCACGAUGGAGGUCGCCUCACAGCCUAGCGACGAGGUAACUCAUCUUCCUUGUGCGUCCUUCGCCCACUGUGCGCCCUGCUGCCCUCGACCUCCUUCCUCACAGGCAUGCUACCCCAACUUUUAUUUUGAUUUUCAGUUCAACUUGUGUGUUCUUUUCAGUGCAUUAUGCUUUAAAUGUGCAGAGUCUUGAGGCAAAAUGAUACAUUUUAGUUUGCUUUGCCGCAAGGGCAUUGCUGAAACUUAACUUCUGUCUAAACCUAUAACCAUCCAUUUUGAAAAUAGAUGCUUUCGAAAAUAGAUGCUAGUUUACUUUGCAUAGAGCUUGCAGCUUAUGUUUGUGUAGUUUGAACUUAAGCUGGUAUCCCUCUCGUACUUCAAUUUUUCAGUACUGGUCUAGUCAGUAUGGUGAAGAUGAAGCUCCUUUUUGAACUUCUCCGGUUAAUAUACAUGCACUUGGUCAUCUUUUUUACAUGUACUAACAUCAUCUCAUUCAGAGUUGUUCGUGUGCUUGUAACACAAAUCAGUUCAAAUCUCAAGAGAAGUAAGCUCAAAUAAGAAAAUAGAAAAGUUCGAAGCCGAGAUGUUUGCAUAUGUUUUGUUGAAUUGAGUUCCUUCCUAAAAAAAGCACUAAAUAUGUUUGCAUAUGUUUGCACAUCUUUUCAGUACAAACUUUUUAAAAAGUUUCUUUCUAAACUUCUCAAAAUUAAUAUACAUGAACUUGAUUAUCUUUUUAACAUGUAUUGAUAUCAGCUUCGUUGGAUUUUUGUGCAACUUGAACUGAUCGAGUAACACAAUCAGUUCAAAUCUCGAGAGACCAUAAGUUCAAGUUCACUAGUAUUUAUAAAUGUUGGUUGCAGCACUAGCAUUUACAAAUUUCUUAUAAUCUCCACAGGUCGGAGGCCGUACAUAUUUCUUAUUCCUAUUGCUAUAAGUUCAAGCGAUCAAAUGCUAUAAGUUCGCAUGUUAUUCUCCAAUUAGUUCAAGUGAUCAUUGUUUUAUUUUAUUGUGUAUAUGUCUAGACUUUGUGACCUGAACUUUCUACUUACUGCUUAGAGAACGCCCCUUUUGUGGCAUGAACUUUCUUCUUAUUGCUUAGAGAAGGUCCCUUGGAAAAGAUGACUACCUUUCGAAGUUGGAUUAUCCUCAAACAGUUUAUAUUUUGAUGUGGAAUAGGAAAAUAGGUUUGCUUUGGAGUGUGUUUUACAAUUAGAACCUUUUAGACUUCGUAUUCUUUGAGUAUGCAAAAAAAAAACAAAGGAGAAAAGCUGGCUACCUGCGUAUAGUUUUUAUAAUUUCCAUGGAAAACUAAUAUUCAUUCCCCUAUUUGGUGGAUGUUUUGAUAUAUUUCCUUCGCGAAUUGCAGUUGUCGAAUGGUGUUACACAAUUACUAUUCUAGCAUCAUUGUUUAUAUUGUAUUUUUUUAGCAUUCUUGCAACCCUAUUAACAACAUCUUUUUGUGCAGUGUUUGUCAGUUUUUUAUUUAUGGACAUCUUGGGCUUGCUGGGUGCAGAAUCAAAAUUUGUCGGUUUUUUAUUUAUGGACAUCUUGGGCUUGCUGGGUGCAGAAUCAAAGAAGGCCAGUGAGAGGUACUAGUAGAAGAGGAAGAAGUAAUGUGAAAAAUGAGAUAAAUGUGAGAAGACCAAGUACAAAAG
RNAcentral lists this long non-coding RNA (1687 nucleotides) under Triticum aestivum (bread wheat). RNAcentral's name for it is "long non-coding RNA (TAES_LNC012131)". Lineage: Eukaryota; Viridiplantae; Streptophyta; Magnoliopsida; Poales; Poaceae. The record is from RNAcentral.